Molecule: non-coding RNA, 276 nt
Organism: Vicia faba (fava bean)
Lineage: Eukaryota; Viridiplantae; Streptophyta; Magnoliopsida; Fabales; Fabaceae
Source: the annotation of a GenBank genome assembly
AUGAAUCAUUACAUCCAUAAACUCCAUUCAAUUUCACUAUUCAAAUUCAAGACCAUACAAAUGUUCGUGUUUGCAAGAGCUUGGAAUUCAAAUGCAGAUUGGAGGGAAAGUAUUCAUUCAAAUAUCAUUACAUUUUGGGAUACUACAAGAGGAAGAAAACCUAAGUUGAUCAAAUUAAACUUCAAAACAGACCCAAGGCAAAAAGAAGGAAGAUUUGCAACAUGCCCAAGAAAGUUAGUUGUGGGGACUUGCUAUUCUUGCUUCACAACUGGGUGA